Molecule: ribosomal RNA, 354 nt
Filed under: uncultured bacterium
Lineage: Bacteria
Description: bacterial SSU rRNA
Rfam family: Bacterial small subunit ribosomal RNA
Source: RNAcentral
AUGGCUGUCGUCAGCUCGUGUCGUGAGAUGUUGGGUUAAGUCCCGCAACGAGCGUAACCCCUAUUGCUAGUUACCAUCGGGUAAUGCCGGGGACUCUAGUGAGACUGCCUGCGCAAGCAGUGAGGAAGGUGGGGAUGACGUCAAGUCAUCAUGGUCCUUACGCCUAGGGCUGCACACGUGCUACAAUGGCUGGUACAACGAGCAGCUACUCUGCGAGGAGAAGCGAAUCUCUGAAAACCAGUCCCAGUUCGGAUUGGAGUCUGCAACUCGACUCCAUGAAGCAGGAAUCGCUAGUAAUCGCGGAUCAGCAAUGCCGCGGUGAAUCUGUUCCCGGGCCUUGUACACACCGCCCGU